UCGGGAAUUCUGGGAAGCGUAGUCUAGGUGGGUUCGGCGGCGGAGCCACUUCCGCCCCAGGUAUGCGAGGCAGAGGCCUGCGCUUCUCGCAGAAAGGUCUCUGCUUUUCCCUAGAAAAAGGAGGAGAAAAUGACCAAAUUCCAGGUUUGAGGCACUGCGGGACAGUGCUCUGCGUCGCCGGUUCGCGACACCAAAGGUGCUGCCUUCCCCUGACCGUUUUGCCGUUAACUUCAGUGACAGUGUUUCUGCCCACCGCAGCAAGAGGUAAGCGGUCUUGUAUCUUUUUAACCAGCUUAUUUCCUUCUCCAUCAUCUGUUUUCUGGAAAUUCGUCUAUUUUAAUUUUAUGUUUUUGGAUUUCUUUCGUUGCCUGUUUUUCAAGCUGUUGGAUUCCUCUGGCAUGCACGGUGGGUUCUGGCAGUCAGCGGGCUGA
RNAcentral lists this long non-coding RNA (431 nucleotides) under Fukomys damarensis (Damara mole-rat). RNAcentral describes it as "lncRNA (ENSFDAG00000030870.1)". Lineage: Eukaryota; Metazoa; Chordata; Mammalia; Rodentia; Bathyergidae. The record is from RNAcentral.